RNAcentral lists this transfer RNA (66 nucleotides) under Blaberus peruvianus. RNAcentral describes it as "tRNA-Gly". Lineage: Eukaryota; Metazoa; Arthropoda; Insecta; Blattodea; Blaberidae. The record is from RNAcentral.
AUUUAUCUAAUAUAUUCAAGUAUAUUUGACUUCCAAUCAAAAAGUUUGUUACUAACAAGAUAGAUA